UACGGUGGGAGCAAGCGUUGUUCGGAUUUACUGGGCGGAAAGGGCGCGUAGGCUGCGCAACAAGUCACUUGUGAAAUCUCCGGGCUUAACCCGGAGCGGCCAAGUGAUACUGUCGUGCUAGAGUGCGGAAGGGGCUACUGGAAUUCUCGGUGUAGCGGUGAAAUGCGUAGAUAUCGAGAGGAACACCUGCGGCGAAGGCGGGUAGCUGGGCCGACACUGACGCUGAUGCGCGAAAGCCAGGGGAGCGAACGGG
This 253-nucleotide ribosomal RNA is filed under the name uncultured bacterium. RNAcentral describes it as "partial 16S ribosomal RNA". It matches the Rfam family "Bacterial small subunit ribosomal RNA", at positions 524 to 776 of the family's 1533-position model. The record is from RNAcentral.